This 253-nucleotide ribosomal RNA is filed under the name uncultured bacterium. Its description in RNAcentral is "partial 16S ribosomal RNA". It matches the Rfam family "Bacterial small subunit ribosomal RNA", at positions 524 to 776 of the family's 1533-position model. The record is from RNAcentral.
UACGUAGGGUGCAAGCGUUGUCCGGAAUUAUUGGGCGUAAAGAGCUUGUAGGCGGUUUGUCGCGUCUGCUGUGAAAAUCCAGGGCUUAACCCUGGACCUGCAUCGGGUACGGGCAGACUAGAGUGCGGUAGGGGAGAUCGGAAUUCCUGGUGUAGCGGUGAAAUGCGCAGAUAUCAGGAGGAACACCGGUGGCGAAGGCGGAUCUCUGGGCCGUAACUGACGCUGAGGAGCGAAAGCAUGGGGAGCGAACAGG